AACGCUGGCGGCGUGCUUAACACAUGCAAGUCGAACGAAGCACUUUCUUACGAUCCCUUCGGGGUGACGAGUUUGUGACUGAGUGGCGGACGGGUGAGUAACGCGUGGGUAACCUGCCUUAUACAGGGGGAUAACAGUUGGAAACGGCUGCUAAUACCGCAUAAGCGCACAGUAUCGCAUGAUACAGUGUGAAAAACUCCGGUGGUAUAAGAUGGACCCGCGUCUGAUUAGCUAGUUGGUGAGGUAACGGCUCACCAAGGCGACGAUCAGUAGCCGAUCUGAGAGGAUGAACGGCCACAUUGGGACUGAGACACGGCCCAGACUCCUACGGGAGGCAGCAGUGGGGAAUAUUGCACAAUGGGCGAAAGCCUGAUGCAGCGACGCCGCGUGAGCGAUGAAGUAUUUCGGUAUGUAAAGCUCUAUCAGCAGGGAAGAUAAUGACGGUACCUGACUAAGAAGCACCGGCUAAAUACGUGCCAGCAGCCGCGGUAAUACGUAUGGUGCAAGCGUUAUCCGGAUUUACUGGGUGUAAAGGGAGCGUAGGCGGUCUUGCAAGUCUGAUGUGAAAGCCCGGGGCUCAACCGCGGGAUUGCAUUGGAAACUGUAGGACUUGAGUAUCGGAGAGGUAAGUGGAAUUCCUAGUGUAGCGGUGAAAUGCGUAGAUAUUAGGAGGAACACCAGUGGCGAAGGCGGCUUA
RNAcentral lists this ribosomal RNA (697 nucleotides) under Lachnospiraceae bacterium RM62. RNAcentral's name for it is "bacterial SSU rRNA". It matches the Rfam family "Bacterial small subunit ribosomal RNA", at positions 32 to 728 of the family's 1533-position model. Lineage: Bacteria; Bacillati; Bacillota; Clostridia; Lachnospirales; Lachnospiraceae. The record is from RNAcentral.